AGGCAGCGAGGCCGCCCCCCGGUGCACCCCCGGCGGGUCGCUGGCGGCGGAGGGGCCGCGGGAUCCGUCCGCGCUCGCUGCCCCCGUGCAGAGCCCGAAGCAGCCUCGCCGCCUCCUCCUCCUCCUCCUCCUCCUCCUUCUCCUCCUCAUCCUCGUCCUCGUCCUCUUCCUCCACCGCGGCGGCGGCGGCGGCCCGCGGGUGACAUGCAGUCCCUCAUCUCUCCGGUGACCAAGGCUAUCCUGGUGGCUUUGUUCAUCUUCGCCAUCCUGCUGAUCCUCUACGUGAUCCUGUGGUACAUCUGCCGCGAUGUGGAUUGCGACCACGGCAUCUGAGCGGCGGCGCGGGGACAGGGCUUAGGAGACGGAUUCACCCCGCAGGAGCAGGCAGCGGGAGCCGCCGCCGGAGCGAGGGGAAGGAGGAAAAGGAAGAAGGAAAAAAAAAUAAUAAUAAAAAAAAAAAAAGAAAAAAAAAUAAUAAUAAACGGACCGAGCCGAGCCGCCGCCAGAGCACGGAGGACGACUGCGACCGAGCAGCCAGCCUGAGCCUGACCUUCAGAGAGCAGCGUGACCCGUGGCUUGAACUGUGCACUGAAGAUUGUUCCAAUGUGAGAGACUCGCCUCAGAGAGAACAACGGUCCAAAGCUGAAGACGACCAGCAUCACGUCAUCGAGACGUCCUCCUGUCACACGAGCUGAGCGAUUUCCCCUCCAGAUGAGCAUGAAGUAGAGGAACAUCAGGCUGCUGUCACUCAAGACAUGUUGACCUGCCCCACAGGGCUCCAGCCCCAUUUACCGGAGGGCUUGGGGAAGGAGUGAUCAUCGAAGGGCCCCGCAGCCUUCAGAUCUGUGACCCUGCUGCGACGAGCACUCGGUAUGAUUUGUGUGUUUACCAACACCUUGAGGGUGGGGUUGCAGGGAUUAAUUGUGCCAUGAUUAUAACAGCUAAAACUAGAUGGGACAUGACAAAUUCUGGGGCCGUGGCAGGGAACACAGUGUCAGUGUAAGAAGUGUAUUAAACCUUAAGUGUUAGAAGGCUGUAUCAUUUCUUCUUUUGUUGCUAUAUUGGUGGUCUUGCAUUCAUAAUGUUAAUGACAGUCCUGGUGUGGUUACAGGGAUUUCUAAAGUACCAAAACGUUUGCCCUUCACCCAAAGAUCGGUGUCCAUAUACCGGAAUUACCCAUCAGUCACAUACCAUUAGGCACUUGUCUGCUGCCUCCCUCCUGCGGGGUGCUGCUUCGGGGGCACAAUCUGAAGCUAAAAUGUACAGAGAACUUACACUGCCAUCGCUCAACAGAUGACUUUUUUCCCCCCAUUCUUCUCUGCGGCAUGAGGGUUUUCUGCUUUUUCCUCUAAGCUGUAAUCUUCUGAACUGUGACUAUUUAGUGCAUAACGCAGUUUGUAGACAAACUGCGAAUUGAUUUUCCUGAAGUGGGCUGACAAAAUGAUGAGUGUAUUGGAAAGCAGCACACACUUGGUUAUUUGUUGUUCUACAUUAAGCUAGGUUUUUCAAGUAAAUGUCCUUUAAAAUAGCCUUUUUCAUUUUAGUGUGCUGCUUUUAAUGUGCAUGCUUAAUAUGGUUCAUAUGGUUCAGUUGCACAGCGGUAUCUGCUCUUGUUACAGGCACUCUGGUAGCUUUCAAAAUUUUAUCCAAAUGAGGAAAUUUGAGCUUCAGCUUGGAGGGGCUCAUAACAUUGGCUGCUGCUGAGAAUUAUGUCCUUAUUUUGAAUGCUCUGAGGUACUACUUUUGAAUACUAAAGAUUCUUUGUGGCAUUUUACCGAGUCACCCCACCCUUAAAUCAUAUCUAAAUGAUACCAACAAGGUGACUUUCAGAGUUUCUUUGUAGAACACACUAUGAGAAAAGGAUGCAAAAAAAAAAUUGAUUGCGACUGAUUAAGAAAGAGACAGGAACUGGAAAAUAAGGAAUGUUGCAUCAGGUUGGGAGAGGAGAGACUGCAGAGCAUUUCAGUUUUAGGAAGUGCAUCUGACAUGGAGUAAAAUGCUAAGCUCACAGGACUAAAAUUGCCA
RNAcentral lists this long non-coding RNA (2025 nucleotides) under Anas platyrhynchos (mallard). RNAcentral describes it as "lncRNA (ENSAPLG00020000493.1)". Lineage: Eukaryota; Metazoa; Chordata; Aves; Anseriformes; Anatidae. The record is from RNAcentral.